Molecule: non-coding RNA, 13572 nt
Organism: Nothobranchius furzeri (turquoise killifish)
Lineage: Eukaryota; Metazoa; Chordata; Actinopteri; Cyprinodontiformes; Nothobranchiidae
Source: RefSeq, a predicted model, not a curated record
ACACACACACACACACACACACACACACACACACACACACACACACACACACACACACACACACACACACACACACACACACACGCACAUGCACACGCACACGCACACGCACACACACACACACACACACACACACACAUACACACACACACACACACACACGCACACACACAUACAUUCAGCCAUAUUUCUUUGUAAUGAGUCAUAAAACCAGACAUGUCUUGUGCAAUAAACAUGCUCUUCUUCUUCUGUGUGCAUUCAUAAUAGUAUUUUCUCCAUGUUUUACUGCUGUAGAAAACAAAAUACAUAAAAAUACAGCGACUGAUUAACAGAGAGUCAAGCUUUCAAGCCUGACAAAAACACUGGAACAGCUCUCAUUUCCAUUAUCACAACUGUGUGCAUAAUUUGCAAAACAUUAGUGUAGGCUGUAAAACUAUCUCUUGGAGCAAAUGAACUUUAAAGAGUUCAUAGAGGUUAAAACACAAGUAAAGCAUGAUAUCUUCACAAAGGGAAUCUGGAUGAGAACCGGUGCCAAUAAACUAGUGGAAAAACGGUCUGGAGGAAGAAAGCUGCUUGUGAAUUGUCUGUAUCUCAGAGUUGCACGAUCUGCCAUUCCCAUAUUGGUUACAGUCAUGGAUCACCAACAUUUCUCUGGCAAAAUACCAGCUUUGUAACUUUCUAAUCACAUUGCUGUUAUCAAAAGGCUGCAAUGCUUAUGCUUCAACCAGAAAUAGCUGGGAUCCCAAUUCUCUGCUGUUGUUCUGUGAGUCAGGAGCUGGAUAGUGUGGGAACCAUUGUUCUAGAUGUGUAAUGAUUUAGUGUCAUAGGCAGGGCCCAUGGGUGCAAGCAAGAACAGCAGCUGCAGCCAGACAAGUAAAAUCCAUAGACUUUAAUGGGGAGGAACCGAAAAUGAUAGAGAAAAAGAGAUGGUAUGACAGGAACAGAUUAAACAAAUUUGCAACAGGAGAAUCUGGCAAAGAACAGAGAACAAACAUCUGGCAACUUAAGAGCCAGAAAUCCUCACAGAGGCUUGUUUCCUAAAUGUAGACUAGGUGGGAUAAUUACCAAAUGCAAUAAAGGUGAUGAGCUGAGAAACCAAAGGGAACUGCAGGAAACAAUGAAUGGGAAACAAGAAGCCAGACAAUACAAAUUAAAGUGAAAAUAACACUACAAAAACCUAUGACUUCUAAUAAGUAUUUUAGGAGUUAAUAUUGUACUAUGAAGUUCAGUUAUUUGCCAGCUAAUUGGAUUUACACCUUUCUUCAGACUGACCACAACCAUGGACUAGGUCUCAGAAAGCUAACAGUGGCAUGGAGUUAUGAAGAUAUGACAAUCUUAGGACAAUGAAAUGUUGGGGCUCUAAGCCUGAAACUAAUAUAAUCAUUACACAGUGUUUGUGUCACGCUGAGCCAGGAGGAGGUUAGGACCCAAGAUGCAGAAACCCAGAACGACACAAGGCAGGAGCAAAAUCAAAGUAAAAUCCUUUAUUUAGGAAGAGAGUCCAAAAUUCAAAAAUCCAAAAAGGGCAGGAAGCCAAGCCUAAAGUCAGUAACCAGACUGACAAAGACAAAAAGCUCUUUGAUGAGCAAAACCUAGAGUUUCAUGAGGAGGAAAAGAACAACACUGACAACGACAAUGGACCGACAAACACUGAGGCACAGACAGGGUUAUAUACACAGGUCUGGUUGAUAGGAGACGAGGAGCAGGUGCGUGGGGAAUUGGGCACAGGUGAAACUCAUGAACUGAGGGAAGAAGCAGAAAUAAGUAAAAGUAAGUAAGUAAGUAAAAGUUUAUUUUUAGAGCACCUUUCACAGAUAUAAAUCACAAAGCGCUGUACAACAUGAUAAAGAUCAGGGCAAAUACCUCUAACCAAUAAAAACAUCAGAAAAACAAUAGCAGUGAUAAAAUAGUAAAUAAAAUCAUGAGUAUAAACAAAGUGAAGGUGUGAACCCAAACAAAGCCAUCUUUUUGAACAUUUAGGGAGGGAACGCCUGGAUGAAAAGGUGAGUUUUUAGAUGAUUUUUAAAGACCUCUACAGUGUUAGAGAGACAGAUAUUUGAAGGUAGACUGUUCCAAAGUCUGGGUGCAAUAGUCUGAAAGGCCCUGUCCCCUUUGGUUUUCAGUCUGGUUCAAGGAACAGCCAGGAGGUUUUCAGAUGUGGAUCUAAGGUUCCGUGAGGUGGUGUGUGGGGAUAAAAGCUCAGAUAGGUAGCUUGGAGCCUGGUUGUUAAGAGCUCUAUAGGUCAGGACUAAAACUUUAAACUGUAUUCUAUUAUCUACCGGGAGCCAGUGGAGGGACUGUAAAACUGGAGUGAUGUGAGCUCGUCUGCUGUAUUUGGUUAGGAGGCUGACUGCUGCAUUUUGGAUGGCUUGAAGGCGUGAGAGGGAGGUUUUGCUGAGACCAGUAAAAAGAGCGUUACAGUAGUCUAAGCGUGAAGACACAAAGACAUGGAUGAUUUUUUUCCAGAUCUGCAGUAGAAACCAGUUUACGGACUUUUGAAACGUUUCUCAGUUGAAAGAAACAAGAGCGGGAGAUGGUUUUGACGUGUGAGUCUAAACUUAAAGCUGGAUCAAAAAUAACUCCAAGGUUUCUAAUGCUGGCCUUGGCUGAUGGGCAAUAAGAGGCAAUUUCUUGCUCAAUUUUUGGCUGAAGUUCCGGGGGUGCAGCGAUCAGGGUCUCUGUCUUGUUAGCAUUGAGGACAAGAAAGUUGCUGGACAGCCAGUUACUGAUCUGGGUCAGGCAGAGUACAAGUGUGGCCAGCCUGUCCAACUGGUGUGGCAUAAAGGACAUACAGAGCUGAAUAUCGUCAGCGUAGAUGUGGUAGGAGAUGUCUAGGAAAGACUGAAUGAUGCCAGCUAGGGGAAGAAUAUAGAAUGCGAAUAGUAGAGGCCCUAGAACUGAACCUUGUGGGACCCCGCAUGUUAGAGAGGCAGUAUCUGAAGAGAAGGUUUCGGACUUCACUGUGAAUGUUCUGUUGGUGAGAUAAGAAGAGAGCCAGUCUAGAGCAGAACCUGAAAUCCCGGCCAGAGCCUUUAACCUGUUUAGUAGAACGUUGUGGUCUACAGUGUCAAAAGCUGCACUGAGGUCAAGCAGGACCAUGACAGAGCAUUUCCCUGCAUCAGCAGCCAUUAGGAGGUCUUUAUGCACCCUUACUAUAGCAGUCUCAGUUGAGUGCUGCUUCAGAAUGCCAGAUUGGAAGGGGUCAGAGAUCUUUGACUUAGGAAACCAGGAUCUGAGUUGGGUUUCAACAACCUUCUCAAGUACUUUACUGAUGAAAGGUAGUUUAGAAAUGGGCCUAAAGUUACUGGUGGAGCUGGCGUCAAGGUUUGAUUUCUUUAAGAGAGGAGUCACUACUGCAUUUUUAAAGUAAGAUGGAACACAGCCUUGGCUCAGUGAGCUGUUGAUUAUAGUCAACAGAGAUGGACUGAUAGAGGCAAGGGACCCGACUAAAACAGAGGGAGUUAAAGAGCAAGUAACGUCUAAAUUAACUUUUUUUUUGCUGAUGAACUGUAUAAAUGAGUGUCUAAUAGUGUUUUAAAUGUGUGCAUUCUUUAUUUUAGCAUUUUGCUGCAUUUUCUUUAAAAAUAAAAAAUUCUGUCUAAAAACCACAGUAAUGCGCCACCUUCAGCUGAAAACAUAGAAUUUGAGUCAUUUUGAAUAAAUUUUAGCCAAUGGCUAAAGAGUAAAGUACUACGUAAACCAGUAGAGUACUACGUAGCAGCUCCGUGCCAAAGUUAUAAAAGCAACGAGCGUCUCGGCCACGCCCUGUGGCGAGUGGGAGUUGGAUUUGCAAGCGAGCGUAGGAGGUCAGCGGUAGUUCAGCAUUAGCAUAUAGCAUUAGCAUAUCCUAGUCUUUAGCAUAUCUUUUAGUGUUAUAAAUACUUAUUUAGUGUUAGCUUGGCUGUUGGAUAUUGUAGUUUAGUUAGUGUUUGGCUGUUAGUGUAAUUGGGAAAGUAUUUCGGGUUUAGUGUUCCAUAUCGUCUUAGUAUUGGUGAGUAGGUGUAGUGUAGUAUGCUUGCGGUGACUCUGUGGGCAUUUUACCCGCGAUUCUGCAUGUCUCCGUUUGAAGAGGGAGGCUGCCCACCGUGGCUCUUCCGCGAUUUAGAUGCAGCCCACCGACUCUGCUCCCCCACCACGGCGGGCUCCAGUCUGAGGUGAGUAAGCUAAAUAAACGUUUUAACAUCUUCUAAAGACAAUUCCCUACCUAAAUGCAAAGUCUGAGAGAUGUGGUUCACUUCCUUUAGCUAGUCAGUCGGCAAUUCUGCAACAGUGUCUCUAACUGACGCAGCACUAGUUGACAGACAGCAUUACAGCGUGAAAUCCAGCUUGUGAACAGGUUCUGUGAGGAAUUCUGUUCAGGAGGUCACAUUUCAGGCUCUCCACAUCAUGUGUGACUGACUUUUACGUUAUAACGAUCACACACUAGGAAUGUUAUAAAGCGCCUAUAUAGGAUAUUCUUUUGUAUAUUAUCUGACUUUAUAAACUCCCAACAACAAUGUGCUUCUAUUUUUUUUUCAGGCUAAAUCUACCCAAGACACUGGCUGUCAGACUGAUUUAGCUGCAAGAAUACACUUGUCCAGGCAGACGUGAAGCCUUACCUGUAGCAAAGCCAGCCAGAAUUGAGUUCACAGCCGCAGUGUGUCUGGUGACCCACGGGGACCAUGAUGAAAAUUCAUCUUCCAGAAAGUCCCAGAGCAUCCACACCCCCUGAAAAGACCAAGAUGUGAGGUGUCUGCUGUUGAUUCCAGCUUCCACCUCAGUGACAGUGCAAGCUCAGUGAACUGUUCAAGCCUGGCUGAUCACCUGAUAACUCCUGCCAUCUGGUUAUGACAGCAUGAGGAUGUCCUCACACACCUGUAACCUAUCAGCUCAUCUGGCAGAAUAGAGAGAGAAGAGACAAUACCACAUCUCCUGUUCCUGGAAAGCCUUCAGCCAUCCUUCGAUGACUGAGAACCUCCAUCAGCUCUGUCUCCUGUCUGCCUACAAUUAUUAUAAUACAUAUUGUGUUUGACAAGUUUUUUGUGCUGCCAAAUAUCUCAUUUAGAUUCCAGUUUUGAUAUUUUAAUGGAUAUUUAUAAAUUACAUUGAUUAUCACAUUUUUGUUGCAUGCUUAACUAGCUCUAUUGUGAUGAAUUAAACUAGCACCUCACUGUUAAAAGCUCGUUUUAAUUUCAAGCAUGUUUAAGUAUUUAUGUACAUGAACAAAAACAGGAAAUAUAUAAAUUGAGAUUUAUUUAAUUAAUAUAACAAAUAAGGGGGAAAGAGUCAUUGAAAGGCACAUUCUUCUGGAAGCUCCUGAUCCUGACGACACCAGACCAGCUGCAGACACCAGAGGACCUAGAACUGAGAGAGCAGCUGUUAUUAGUAAAUAAAUAAAGAAAUCAGGGCAGUUUUAGUGGGCUGAACACAUUACAGAAUAAUUUUCUCAUGGAGUAUUUUCAUAACUUUAUAUGCAGCAGACUGUAACUUGAGCCCAGGGCUACCGGAGAGCUGCUAUCCAGGACGUUUCAGUGGAUUUUCCUGCUUUAACAGGUUAGAUUAGCUGUUAAGCAGCUCAGCUAUUUGUUGCUGAUUAAAACCAGGUGUGCUGAAGCAGAUAAACCUCUAAAACAUGCUGAAUACUAGCUUUUUAGGGUCGCGGAGCCAAACACUGCAACUAAUCCAAUGCUAGGGCUAAAUGCUACUUACCGUUCAGAGGUGGUUCUGUUGGGUAGGUUCUGGGAGUUUCAGGCAACUCACAAGCUCAAAACAAUAAGACUCAGGUCCGCUUGUCUCCUCCAAAUAGACUUGGUCCCUUUCUUCUCGAGUGUCUGGGUAAGGAGGUGGAGAAACGUCCUCCACUUCUAAUAACUGCUCAGAGUGACGGGAGCUAGCUUCGUCUAGUUAGCCAUCGUCUUCGUCACUGCCGCGGCUCCGCCCUCUCGGUCCUCCAGGCAACGCCUACUAAUGUUGCAUUUUUUAAAAUUGAUACGUGGGUGGAGAAGGACUCUGAGGCUCAAUUGACCCGCUCUUUAAGAUAUCUGAUGAGCAUGAUGAGAGUUUCAUCUGACUGAUUAUUGAGGUUAAGUCAUUUAGUGUAAUAGGGGAGAAGGAGGUGAAAGACUCGGAGCACUGAGGGGCCUCCUCGCUGACAGGGGGAGCUGGUGGAAUGCUGGAUCUCAGAUUUAACACCUUGUUUGCAAAAAAGUGGAGAAAUCUGUUACAGUCAUCAGCUGAAGAUAGCUGAGCCUGCUGCGGAGGAGAAGAAACGAUGCUGGAGAUGGUAUCAAACAAAACCUUAGGAUUAUUCUUAUUUUGGCAUAUGAGGUUGCUGAAGAAAGAAGACCUGGCAUUUUCUACAGCUUUGUUGUAUGACUCGAGAAGUUCUUUAAAAUAUUCGCGAUGAACAACCAGACCUGUCCUCUUCCACCGUUGUUCCGCUUUUCUAUAGGAGCGUCUAAGUUCAAGAAUCUGGUUGUUCAGCCAGGGUGAACUGGAGGCACUGGAACUGGGGCUGGUUUUGUAAGGAGCGACCUGAUCUAGAAUUUUGAGGCAGUGAUCAUUAAAUGAGUUAGUAAGGAGCUCUACGUCAUCAGAGGAAGGAGGUACAAAGUCAAAGAGGGAGGAGAAAUUUAAAAUGGGAGAACUGUUGAUAAUACGUCUUAGCAGAGUCUGGUAAAAGAGAUUGAGAAUUUAGGUUAAUAUGAAAAGAAACUGACUUAUGAUCACUGAACACAACAUCAUUUUCUGCAGCUUAUCAACAAGAAGUCCGUAGGAAAAGACCAGAUCCAGGGUGUGGCCUGUUCUGUGAGUGGGACCAGACAUGUGUUGAGAGAAGUUAAAAGAGUUCAUCAUGUUUAGGAACUCCCUAGUGGAGCUGUUAGAUAGAUCCUCAGCAUGGAUGUUGAAAUCUCCAACAAUGAUUAUCCUGUCUAGUUUAAUAAUUGAAGAUAGGAGGUCCUGAAAGUCAGACAGGAAGGAUGAAGUAGAUCCAGGUGGGUGAUAGACCAGAAUUCCAUAAACUGGUUGAACUCAACCAAUUUUAAUCAUGAUCAUCUCGAAUGAGCUGUAGGAGUUUGAGGAUAUAAUUUGGCAUGAAAAGUGUUUCAUAAAGAUAACAGCUGUUCCUCCACCACAGCCUGUGGUUUGUGGAGCAGAGAAGAAAGAGCAGUCUUGAGGACAGAAUUCACGGAGAUGAGUGACGUCAUUUUCGCGCUGCCACGACUGAGAAAUCCACAAAAAGUUUAAUAUUUUGGUGCAGAACAGAUCGUUGAGGAUGUGAGACUUGUUGGCGAUGGAGUGCGCAUUAAUUAACAUCAUUCUCGCAGAGGAAUCUGGCGAUGUGUGUGCCGCGGGCUCCAUAAUGGCGGGCGGCUGGCGGGCUAAGCUACAUAGCGACUCCCGGCUACGCCCGCGGAGGUUCUUUGUCUCCCACGCCUUCAGGUAGCGUCCUGCAUCAGGGGCUCCAUUGAGCAGCGAGAUCAGCCCAACUCCAUUAAGUUUGUGUUGGAUCCGUCACAACACAGCUGCAGAGCAGCGAUCGGGCAGAGCUUCGCCUCUCAGGAUCUUUCAAAGCUGAACGAAGAAGCCGGCUCUCUUCCCCAGUUUCCUCUUACAUGGCCUCCUGGGCAGCGGCAAGCCGACAGUUAACAGAGGGCCGAGACCUGGGUUAACGCCAGUUUCCAGAGGCGGUGGGAAAGCGGGUCCGGUGUCGGAGUUCUGGAGGUUGAUCAUCGCGGACCUGAUCGACAACAGUAAGUCUCGAUCAUAUGUUAGCAGGGACUCCGCACCAGAUAAAGAAGAAACAAUAAAAAACACCAAAUAACCAAAAAAGAUCAGGAGCCUAGCAAACGGACAACCACUCAUGGGCGCCAUCUUGCUGAUUUGAUAUUGAAAUAAUUACAAUCAAUAUCUAUAUUGAUUGAAAUAAGCAGGGGAGAAAACCAUAUCUAAAUCUUAAACCAAAGCUACUAAGAUAACCUGAACUUUAAACACUGUAAAACAUUGUUACGGCCACCGCCGUUUUGGAGCCCAGUGGUGUGUUGCACUCCAUUUUCAUGACCAGCAGUUCAGCAGCGCAGCACCUUGGACAGCUCUUCCUUGGGAAGCUGUCUUACUUCAGGACCAUGGACAGCGCCAGAGCAGCAGUCACAGCCAGCUGGGACUUUUCAACUCAUCAGCUGGCCCUUCAAAAGCGGCCAGCUGGAGCUCAUCAGGGGAGACAAAUGUUUGUAGGUUAAAGCAGCAACGUGUGUUCCUUACCCUUGGUGGUUAUCUUGGUCUUGUGGUUUAAACCAAGUUGUUGUGCUUAAUUCUUGUGAAGAAGUAACCUUAGGACUUUUUGUGUUUGGGAUAAUUUGAGUUAGAAGGUAAUUUUGGUUUGGUGAGUCUUUUAGACUACCUUUGGUGAGUUACCAGGUGGGGUUUAGCCCUUUUGGAGUCUCGGUUUCCCUUUUUAAAUAGAAGAGCUAUUUAGGAUUUUUGUUUUUUUGACAACUUUAGUUACUUUAGUGCCUUUUGUUUGGUUUGUCUUUUAGACAAACCUUUGUUAAACUACUUGGUGGGGAUUUUGCCCAUUAUCUUAAGUUCCAGUCCGCUUUAUUUAUUUUAGGAUUUAUAGUGGUUGGUCCUUAGGACAUGUUUGGGUUAAUUAAUAAUUUUUACUCGGUUAAUUUCUGGGUAAGGGUUUUUGGCCCUUUCUUUUGGUUUUUCUUUUCUUUUUAAUGAAACCGUUGUAAAGACAAGGCCACUUUGAGUUUGGUUUUAUUUCGUCAAGCCUUUUUCUCCCCCAUUAGGGUUACUUUGCGUUAUACUCGUCCUUCUUAUGUUUAUUCCCCUCUCCUUCCUAGCAGAGCCCACAGAGGGGUGUAACAAACAUAGACUAAAUUAAUUAACUAAUGAUAAGUGAAGUGACUAAAGGGAAACCUGAAGAAGCUGGGGACCAAAAGGGGGCACAGAAGAUUAGGGGACACAUGAGGGGAACCAGGAGGAGGCUGGGGACCACAGGGACACAGAAUCUGAGGGGACACCUGGAGGGAGAACAGGAGGGGGCUGGGGACCACAGGGACACAGAACAUGCCAUAUGAGUAAUGGGAUCAAGGGUCAAGGUUAAAGUGUUCGCAUCAGAUUUGUAAACAGCUGUCCUGCAGUGCUCAGGGGUCUGUGAUGCAGCUGAUGCGUGACAACAGCGAAAUGUCAGGCAAGGCUGUUUUAUCAGAGGUCAGAUGUUUAAUGAUAUUUCUACACAGUUCCUGGACUCAUCAUCUUACAGUCAGCCCAGAGGCAUAAUUCAGACCAUUUUUGUAAAAUACGUUAGUGUCAGCCCGAAAAUGUAAAAGCACACAGAGACAUGGUUCAACCAUAAAAAUCAAUUCAAGCUGGCCUAAUCAAUAAAAAGCAGGAUGGACAAAGUACAUUUUUUCUAUCUUUGCUCAUUUUUAGUAUCUAUAUACUCUGUCCUACGGCUAUUUCAAACCAUUAGGUUUUAGGCCAGACUGUAGGAUGCAGAAAAAGGCCAUUGAAGCUGGAUUCUAGCCCUCCUGUGUCUUGCAGUGAGUCAUGGUGAUUAUCUACAAUACAUCUAUAGAAGGUUGUUCUCUUGUUGUUUUUCUUUCCCUUGAUCAGCGUCAGGACACCUACACCUCAGACUGAAAUGGCUCUAACUUAUCUAGCUGAGUCAGGUGGAUUAGGGUGUUCACACUGUUUUUAUUCUAAUUUAUUUACUUGUUUUUGUUGUUGUUGUUGUGGACAGUUGGUUAAACACAGAGGAGGAGACACAUCAAAGAAAAUUGUAACAAAAGAGCUGAUUUCAAAUCAAAUCACUUUUAUUGUCACGUCACAUGUGCAGGUACACUGGUACAGUACAUGCGAGUGAAAUUCUUGUGUGCGAGCUUCACAGCAACAGAGUUGUGCAAAAAUACAGUAACGUAAAAACAAGCAAAAUAUAAAAAUGGCUAAUCUAAGUAAUAAUAUGUAUACUAUGUAAGGUAUGUACGUUACUGAAUGUGUGUGCUAGUAUGUUUUCCUACGUGUGUGCGUGUGUGUAUAGUGUGUAUAUACAUGUUUUACAAAUGAAUAAAGUAUACAAUAAAAUAAUAAAAUAAGAUAUAUAAAAUAUACAGAGGUUGGUAUGUGCAAAACAGUGGCAUUAAUGUACAGUAUGGAGUGUGUAAUGUUGGAGUUUCAGUAGUGAGGGUGAGGUGUCUGCGAAGUGUUUAGCAGUCUGAUGGCCUGAUGGAAAAAGCUGUCUCUCAGUCUGCUGGUUCUGGACCGAAUGCUGCAGAACCUCCAUCCUGAUGGAAGUAGUCUGAACAGUUUAUGGCUGGGGUGACUUGAGUCCUUGAUGAUCCUCUCUGCUUUUCUCAGGCACCACUUCCUGUAGAUGUCUUGGAGGGAGGGAAGCUCACCUCCAAUUAUCCUUUCAGCACACCGCACUACUCUCUGGAGAGCUUUGCGGUUGUAAGCGGUGCUGUUGCCAUACCAGGUGGAGAUGCAUCCAGUGAGGAUGCUCUCAAUGGCACAGUGAUAGAAGGUCCUGAGGAUGCGGUGGCUCAUGCCAAAUCUUUUCAGUCUCCUGAGAAAGAAGAGGCGCUCCUGUGCUUUCUUCACUGUAUUGUUCGUGUGCAUUGACCACGGAAGAUCCUCAGCCAGAUGAACACCAAGGAAACGGAAGCUGCUCACCCUCUCCACAGUAUCGCCGUUGAUGGUGAUGGGGGUGUGUAUUCCUCUGCACCUCCGGAAGUCCAUUAUCAACCCCUUUGUCUUUGUGACGUUGAGGCUGAGAUGGUUGUCUUGACACCAGUGGGUCAGGGCGCUGAUCUCCUCCCUGUAGGCCAUCUCAUCAUUGUUGGUGAUGAGACCCACCACUGUGGUGUCGUCCGCAAACUUCACAAUGAUGUUGGAGUUUCUAGUGGCCGUGCAGUCGUAGGUGUAGAGUGAGUACAGGAGAGGGCUCAGCGCACACCACUGUGGUGCACCAGUGUUCAGUGGUUCGAUUCUUGGCCAAAUUAUUUAAAUCUCCAGGACGACAUGACAUUUAAAAUGUAAUUUUGAACAAUUGCAGGAAAAAAAUUUUCCACAUCUGUUGGAAAGUUUGUUUAUGAAGUGUGUUGAAUACCACUAGAGGUUUCAUUCAGUGUGUCAUUCGUUUAAUAAAGGAUUGGAUCACUCAAUUUAUUUGCAGUGGUCUCUAGUAGGAAUAACUGCCUUGUAAGUUCUUCUCAGGGUAAAAAAUAAACAGGUGCAUCAUUUCUUAGAACUAAAAGUUACCCACAUCAUUUCAUGUUUAGCCUGCAUGAAAACUCAGAGUGAGCAAUUAUAAAUCAACACAUUCUCACACCCGAAGUGGCUAAAACUGACGAUGGGUGACCAAGCGUUUGUUUGACACGUUGGGAGCCCCAACGGGUCGGGAGGCGACUCGCUGUGCCAGGGCGUCGCAUUCUGAUGCCUACGGUAAAACAAAGAUUUCACCGAAUUGUGACCUUUACCCCCUUGCUAUUUAACCUUCCGCUCACCCCAAUCCUAACCUUAACCCACUUGCGCAUGCAAAACUUUGUUUCUAGUUGUACCGUCCAUCUCAAACACAGUUAACGAGAAGUUUAGAAUGAGAAACUGGGUUACGGUUAGGAUGGGGGUGAGGGGAACGUUGUUGUUUUCCCCACGUCAUGUCUGGCUGUUAGGUAAUUUCAUUGUCCCAUCCAGGGUUACCUGAGAGAAAGUACAACACGCAGGGGUUAUAUUAAUAAGCCGAUCGAUAAACCAUACCAAUCUUUACCAAUAAACAAUUUAGACUUGCAAAGUGGAGAGAGAUAAAAUGAUUCACACGAGUCGGUAGGCAAUUCGCUCUCUCAGACAGAACCCUCAGAAAGCAUUUAUUAAGGACACACAAAAUGGUAAAACACACACACAUUUACACACAUUCCUUUAGACUCUCGAAAGGGAGACAACAGGCACAGGCACAGGGCGUUCUUACUGAUAAGCCAGGACUGGAAAGAGGCAAGGACAAACGCCUGUCUGUUUCUAAAGUAAAAUAAACUGUAUGAAGCUUUCGAAAAUAAACCGGAUGAAGCUUUCGUUUAAAAAAUAAUAAAAUUAUGUAUCCAUAAUUUAUCCAACAGCUGUAAAGCAAACAGAAUUGAUGUCUGAAUGCUGGUGACAAGCCUUACAGAUUUACUCUCAGUUGGAGCAUCAAAGCUUCUACUUUAAAGUCACGCCUGAUACUUAAAACUUUAUUGUAAGUGUUAUUAUCAGACACGGAGUCAGAGGUGAAAGAGAAAGAAGUGGACAAAAGUUAGAGUGGGGGGAUUCCACAAAAAUAAAUAAUUCAUGAUGAACAAGACUCUGCUUCUACACCUGCAGAAAGAGGAAAAACUAACAAAAAAGGGACACACAGCAAUACAACAGGAGCAAAAUAUCGCUGCGUUAACCUGAUGAGGAAAUAUAAAAUCAACAUUGUUUUACUGAACAAUGACACGAUAAUAAAUCACAGUGCAUUUAGUGCCAACCACAGCCUUAAGACAUGUUGAAAAUGCUCAAGUCAAUAUUUAUGAGAGCACUAUGUGAGCACCUGUGUGCGUACCCGCAUAUGCAUAUGUAAGGUUUCUCAAUAGGAGCUUCCAAUGAGGAGAGGGGAAGGUUAAAUAGCAAGAGGUUAGAGGUUAAAUGUCGGUGAAAUGUGUGUUUUCCCUCUGCCUAUGGAAAUCGACACUCUGGCACCACGUGGCACCUCCCAACGCAUUGGAAACAAACGCUUGGGCACCCAUUGUCAGUUUUAGCCCCUUCAGGUGUGAGAAGUGUUGGAAAAAUUUAUUUUCAGUGUUUCACACCCAGUGGCGGCUGGUGAAAAAUAUUUUUGGUGGGGCUGUGCUAUAUUUUUUUUAAACAAACUUGUGCUUUCUGAGCUUUGUGCACAACUUCACUAUUUCCUGAAUUAAGCACAGCUCUUUUAUUUCCUGUCUUACAUCAUUGGACAAACUGAUUAAUCCAGGUGUGUCUGACUAUUGGCACGCUGCCUUGCGGACCAAGGUUGAAAAAUACUGCAUUAAAUUGCACAUAAAACAACAUGACCAUAAAUGGUAAAUAGGCAAUGCAAGAGGCAAGUAACAAAACCAUUUUGUUUAAUUUCAACAUUUGAGUAAACACGAAAAAUUAUGAGCAGGUCACUGUUACAGUAAUGGUAGUAAACACUACUUAGACAAAAUGCCAGAAAUUUACACUGUUAGGACUUAUGGAAAGUGGAAACACUUUCAUAGGAAAUAAUGUCAUCAGUAUCCUCUUACAAAUGUCAUAUUUCCCACUUUUUGGGACAAUAAAAUAUUUCUGGUUCUCAAUGAGAUGUUUUUACUUCAAAUGUAAAAACAUCUCAUUGAGAAUCAGAAAUGUUUUAUUGUCCCAAAAGCUGGGAAAUUUGUUUGCUGCAGCAGAAGUGUAACAAGUAAAAUGGAAUCAGAUUGAUGUAUGUACAAAUUUACUUGAAAUACACAUUUACAUGAUUAAAUAUGUAUAAUAGGUAUGUGUGUUGAAAUUAGUUUUUACAGUUAUUGCACAUUAAACAUGUUAUUAAACAAAUGUCCCGGUUUGUGGGACAACCAAGGA